This 443-nucleotide ribosomal RNA is filed under the name uncultured bacterium. Its description in RNAcentral is "partial 16S ribosomal RNA". It matches the Rfam family "Bacterial small subunit ribosomal RNA", at positions 338 to 795 of the family's 1533-position model. The record is from RNAcentral.
CCUACGGGUGGCAGCAGUGGGGAAUAUUGGACAAUGGGGGGAACCCUGAUCCAGCGACGCCGCGUGAGUGAAGAAGUAUUUCGGUAUGUAAAGCUCUAUCAGCAGGGAAGAAAGAAAUGACGGUACCUGACUAAGAAGCCCCGGCUAACUACGUGCCAGCAGCCGCGGUAAUACGUAGGGGGCAAGCGUUAUCCGGAUUUACUGGGUGUAAAGGGAGCGUAGACGGCGAUGCAAGUCUGAAGUGAAAGGCGGGGGCCCAACCCCCGGACUGCUUUGGAAACUGUAUGGCUGGAGUGCAGGAGAGGUAAGUGGAAUUCCUAGUGUAGCGGUAAAAUGCGUAAAUAUAUGUAAGAACACCAGUGGCGAAGGCGGCUUGCUGGGUCGAUACUGACAUUGAGGCACGAAAGCGUGGGGAGCAAACAGGAUUAGAUACCCUAGUAGUC